CGGAGCCCCAAGUGGUGACCAUAUUUAUUGGGCCUAAAGCGCCCGUAGCCGGAUUAAUAAGUUCUCGGUGAAAUUGUUAGACUUAAUCUAACGAAUGGCCUUGAAUACUGUUAAUCUAGGGAUCGGGAGAGGUCAAGAGUAUGCCUAGGGGAGGGGUAAAAUCCAUUAAUCCUAGGUAGACUACCAAUGGCAAAGGCACUUGACUAGAACGAGUCCGACGGUGAGGGACGAAAGUUAGGGUAGCAAACGGGAUUAGAUACCCGAGUAGUCC
This 271-nucleotide ribosomal RNA is filed under the name uncultured archaeon. RNAcentral describes it as "partial 16S ribosomal RNA". It matches the Rfam family "Archaeal small subunit ribosomal RNA", at positions 477 to 747 of the family's 1478-position model. The record is from RNAcentral.